GAUGAACGCUGGCGGCGUGCCUAAUACAUGCAAGUCGAGCGAACGGACGAGAAGCUUGCUUCUCUGAUGUUAGCGGCGGACGUGUGAGUAACACGUGGAUAACCUACCUAUAAGACUGGGAUAACUUCGGGAAACCGGAGCUAAUACCGGAUAAUAUUUUGAACCGCAUGGUUCAAAAGUGAAAGACGGUCUUGCUGUCACUUAUAGAUGGAUCCGCGCUGCAUUAGCUAGUUGGUAAGGUAACGGCUUACCAAGGCAACGAUGCAUAGCCGACCUGAGAGGGUGAUCGGCCACACUGGAACUGAGACACGGUCCAGACUCCUACGGGAGGCAGCAGUAGGGAAUCUUCCGCAAUGGGCGAAAGCCUGACGGAGCAACGCCGCGUGAGUGAUGAAGGUCUUCGGAUCGUAAAACUCUGUUAUUAGGGAAGAACAUAUGUGUAAGUAACUGUGCACAUCUUGACGGUACCUAAUCAGAAAGCCACGGCUAACUACGUG
This 497-nucleotide ribosomal RNA is filed under the name uncultured bacterium. RNAcentral's name for it is "partial 16S ribosomal RNA". It matches the Rfam family "Bacterial small subunit ribosomal RNA", at positions 28 to 507 of the family's 1533-position model. The record is from RNAcentral.